CCGAGUUGUAAUUUGUAGAGGAUGCUUCGGGCGUGGCCGCGGUCUAAGUCCCCUGGAACGGGGCGUCGCAGAGGGUGAGAAUCCCGUCUUCGGCCGGCCGGCUUCGCCCGUGUGAAGCUCCUUCGACGAGUCGAGUUGUUUGGGAAUGCAGCUCUAAAUGGGUGGUAAAUUUCAUCUAAAGCUAAAUACUGGUCGGAGACCGAUAGCGCACAAGUAGAGUGAUCGAAAGAUGAAAAGCACUUUGAAAAGAGAGUUAAACAGCAUGUGAAAUUGUUGAAAGGGAAGCGCUUGCGACCAGAGUCGGCCGCGGGGGUUCAGCGGGCAUUCGUUGCCCGUGCACUCCCCCGGGGCCGGGCCAGCGUCGGUUUCGACGGCCGGUCAAAGGCCCCCGGAAUGUGUCGCCUCUCGGGGCGUCUUAUAGCCGGGGGUGCAAUGCGGCCAGUCGGGACCGAGGAACGCGCUUCGGCACGGACGCUGGCUUAAUGGUCGUAAGCGACCCGUCUUGAAACACGGACCAAGGAGUCUAACAUCCACGCGAGUGUUCGGGUGUCAAACCCGUCCGCGCAGUGAAAGCGAACGGAGGUGGGAACCCUCAAGGGUGCACCAUCGACCGAUCCUGAAGUCUUCGGAUGGAUUUGAGUAAGA
Molecule: ribosomal RNA, 645 nt
Filed under: Emergomyces canadensis
Lineage: Eukaryota; Fungi; Ascomycota; Eurotiomycetes; Onygenales; Ajellomycetaceae
Description: eukaryotic LSU rRNA
Rfam family: Eukaryotic large subunit ribosomal RNA
Source: RNAcentral